Molecule: transfer RNA, 64 nt
Filed under: Catamiarus brevipennis
Lineage: Eukaryota; Metazoa; Arthropoda; Insecta; Hemiptera; Reduviidae
Description: tRNA-Ala
Rfam family: tRNA
About the family: Transfer RNA (tRNA) molecules are approximately 80 nucleotides in length. Their secondary structure includes four short double-helical elements and three loops (D, anti-codon, and T loops).
Source: RNAcentral
GGGGUUGUAGUUAAAAAUAACAUUUAAUUUGCAAUUAAAAAGUGCUUUACUUGAGCCAUCCUCA